This 254-nucleotide ribosomal RNA is filed under the name uncultured prokaryote. RNAcentral's name for it is "partial 16S ribosomal RNA". It matches the Rfam family "Bacterial small subunit ribosomal RNA", at positions 524 to 777 of the family's 1533-position model. The record is from RNAcentral.
UACGGAGGAUGCAAGCGUUAUCCGGAUUUAUUGGGUUUAAAGGGUGCGCAGGUUGUUUGAUAAGUCAGUGGUGAAAGUCUGUCGCUUAACGGUAGGAUUGCCAUUGAUACUGUUGGACUUGAAUAUGGAUGAGGUAGGCGGAAUGUGUAGUGUAGCGGUGAAAUGCAUAGAUAUUACACAGAACACCGAUUGCGAAGGCAGCUUACUAAUCCAUCAUUGACGCUGAGGCACGAAAGCGUGGGGAUCAAACAGGA